UUUUUUUUGCUUUUGUGCUCAUUAUUAUUAUGGGAAAACUUCAAAUACUCCCUUGUGGUUUCACUUUUUUUCACUUUAGUAUUCUCUAGUUUAAAGUGUAUCAAAUUAGUACCAUGUGAUUUUGCACUUUUUCAUUUUAGUACCCUGUGAUUUAAAGUGUAUUAAGUUAAUACCCUGUGGUUUCGCACUUUAUCACUUUAGUACCUUGUGGUUUCGCACUGUAUUACUUUAGUACCCUGUGGUUUCGCACUUUAUCACUUUAGUACCCUGUGGUUUAAAAAAACUACAGAAUACUAACUUGAUACAAAAAUAAAACCACAGGGUACUAACUUGAUACAAAAAUAAAAUCAUAGAGUACUAACUGGACACACUUUAAACCACAGGGUAUUAAAGAGAUAAAGUGAGAAACCACAGGGUACCAACUUGAUACAUUAACUGGACACACUUUAAACCNUUAAAGAGAUAAAGUGAGAAACCACAGGGUACCAACUUGAUACAUUAACUGGACACACUUUAAACCACAGGGUAUUAAAGAGAUAAAGUGAGAAACCAAAAGGUACCAACUUGAUACAUUUUAAACUACAGAAUACUAAAAUGAAAAAGUACGAAAUCACAUGGAGGUUUUGAAGUUUUCUCUAUUAUUGUUGAAAUUUUUUGAAUUUAAAAGUGGGA
This 672-nucleotide long non-coding RNA is filed under the name Ananas comosus (pineapple). RNAcentral's name for it is "long non-coding RNA (ACOM_LNC002500)". Lineage: Eukaryota; Viridiplantae; Streptophyta; Magnoliopsida; Poales; Bromeliaceae. The record is from RNAcentral.